Pristionchus pacificus is the source of this 61-nucleotide non-coding RNA. The record is from Rfam. NCBI's taxonomy places the organism in Eukaryota, Metazoa, Nematoda, Chromadorea, Rhabditida, Neodiplogasteridae.
UCUUCAUUUCAAGUGCUCUCUCACCGGUCAGAGAGGCGAGAGAGUGUACGAAAUGAAGAGA